AUUGAACGCUGGCGGCAGGCCUAACACAUGCAAGUCGAGCGGAUGAAGGGAGCUUGCUCCUGGAUUCAGCGGCGGACGGGUGAGUAAUGCCUAGGAAUCUGCCUGGUAGUGGGGGAUAACGUCCGGAAACGGGCGCUAAUACCGCAUACGUCCUGAGGGAGAAAGUGGGGGAUCUUCGGACCUCACGCUAUCAGAUGAGCCUAGGUCGGAUUAGCUAGUUGGUGGGGUAAAGGCCUACCAAGGCGACGAUCCGUAACUGGUCUGAGAGGAUGAUCAGUCACACUGGAACUGAGACACGGUCCAGACUCCUACGGGAGGCAGCAGUGGGGAAUAUUGGACAAUGGGCGAAAGCCUGAUCCAGCCAUGCCGCGUGUGUGAAGAAGGUCUUCGGAUUGUAAAGCACUUUAAGUUGGGAGGAAGGGCAGUAUGUUAAUACCUUGCUGUUUUGACGUUACCAACAGAAUAAGCACCGGCUAACUUCGU
Molecule: ribosomal RNA, 483 nt
Filed under: uncultured bacterium
Lineage: Bacteria
Description: partial 16S ribosomal RNA
Rfam family: Bacterial small subunit ribosomal RNA
Source: RNAcentral